CUGGAAGGAUGUGGCUUGCUUGAAAUGCCUUUCACACUCUUGGUGUCUCUGCAGGUUCCUGAUAUCCCUCUGCUGUGAGAGAGGUGAUAAUGUACCAGACCUUUGUAAUCAUUCGAGAAGUGUUCCAGGACUUUGAGACCGUUGACUGGGUCAGGUGGCUCACCAUGAUGUUCACCCUAUUCCUCUCCAGUUUUACCACCGAAAUGCAAGCUGUGGUUAUGGUUCACACAAACUGCACCAACUACCACGUGAUUGUCGAAGGACUGGGCAAGGUGUUCCCUGAGAUUUCUAUUAAAAAUCGAUUUUGUAUCGAAUCAUAAUGAACUGUACAAUUUACACCCCUACUCUACAGUGGCCAGUUACUUUGAACUUUUUAUGACUUGAACAACACUUUGUUAAAAUGCGCACCUCCCUUUUGCUAAUGUCACGUGGAUUCAGUUUCCAGCCUUUAGGCUGAACUACUGCUUGAGCUUAGUGUGAGGGGCAGAGAGAUGCAGCGAGAUUCAUGUACUGUGUCCCUGGUGAUGGCGUUUUGUGUUUCCCUUUACCUGGCAGCUUUGGAAUCCCUCUCACCUGAACAGAAAGCAGAGCUGCUGUUGGACCCAUCCACCAGCGCUCUUGAAAAUGAGACCAUGGUGAAGUAGGUGUUGCUACGUAACAUUCAUGUUGCACACCUCCUCAUCCCGUCGGAGUCUGCAAGGAAACACCAAAUGACGUGUUCCGCUUGAGAUUGGAAGUGUUUCGGGAGGGCCUUGCGACUUCAGCAUCCCUUGGUAUGUCUGUUCUUCGGACUUCUUGACAGGCUCCUGUCUUAGGGGAGAGGUCCACUGGCUAAUGUGACAGCCUUCUAGGACUAACAGCUAUAUGCGCAUGACACCGAUGGGGAUUUCCUUUUCAGAAAUAAAGUUCAUAUUCAGCCUGUCUUCUUUAACCCACGUGUAUAAAUAAAACAGCUUGCUUAUGGUCACUGAUAUUACAGAAAUCUCCAUCUAAUGUGAGUGGACCUCCAUGUUAUUCAUUUUAUUAAAGUGCUUUUCAUUUCUUGUGUAUAAAAUCUUGUAUGUUUAAGACGUUCAGUUAAGAAACCUUUUUGUGUAAUUAGGGGUAAGCAAUGUUUUUAUAAUUACGGUGGGGGAAAUUAAGGUUUGAACGCAUCAACAUUCUUUUCAGUACAUAUAUUUCCAAUGAGGUUAUUCACCUGAAAUUUUCACCAGACAUCAGUAUUAACUCAUGAAAUCAGCAUAUAUAAAGAAACAACAUUUAAAGUCUAUAAAUUAAAUUAUGUUCAAUAAAGCUGAAUGACACAGAAAAGUCUUGAACACAUUAAGAAACAGCUAGUCACCAAGGAACCAGCUGCAAUCCAUAAGUAUUUAGAAAGUAAAAUUUCCUAUCGGUGGCAAUUAUUUUAUUAUCUGCUGGGUUAGUAAAUUGAUGAGCUAUAAAAAGGCUUUUCAUUACCAAAAUGUCACACAUACUUGUUGCCAAACAUAUUGAUGGAAUCGGAUGCAGAUGUAUUUCAAAACUUCUGAAUCUUCCUUUAACCCUGGAGAACCCAGGGGUCAAAUUUGGCCAAUGUUAAUUAAUGCUAAGAGUAGGGUUAUUGGGUUCUCCAGGGUUAAGCACCAUUGGAGCCAUUAUCCACUGUGGAUCUUAAAUUAAUACUGAUGUCUGGUGGAACUUUCAUGUGAAUAACAUCAUUGGAAAUAUAUGUAUUGCAUAAAAUGUUGAUGCGUUCAAUACUUAUUUCCCCCACUGUAAGAUCAUUAUGGUAUGUGUUCAUAUUGGAACAUAUUAUUCUGUUUACAUGGGUCAAUAGGCUGUUUCAUGUGAGACCCACACAAGUUGCCACAGUUAUGUGCCUGGCCCAAAGUUAACUUCCAGUCUGUGUUUGUUUACCAUAUGGCUAGUGGCUAAACUGACAUCUGGAACAAUACCUUGUCAAAAGUAUAAUUGUUUCCAUUUCCCAAAAAUGAGGGGAGAGGACAAGCAUUGAUUAAUGCUGUGCGUUAAGAGAUUUGGCAGCCAGUCAAGAAUUCAAGGUAGUUGUAUACAUUCAUUUUACACUGUAACGUUAGCUCAGUAUAAUAGUUAAUACCCUAGCUAUGACCUAAAGUAAUCUACUUGUUAUUUAUUUAGCAUGUCUUCAGAAAUUAUCUACUCUAAACCGACUCUGUUGUUACUGAUUCUUUGCAGAACUGGAACUUAAGUUUGGGCCACAACAUUUUAGGGGAUGGGGAUGUGAUGUUAUGUAUUUUAAAGGUGAUGUACAAAGUCAUGUUCCUAAAUUUCAUUUCAUAGUACAGUUAGUUUCUUUACAGUAAUGUACAUUUUACAAUGAAAAACAUUUGUGUUCUUCACAUAUAUAAGCAAUUAAAAUUGUACAGUAUUAAUACUAAGCUACUGGCUGAAUCCUUUUAUGUUAUGUGAUUUUGUUUUUGUUGUGGUUUCUCUUUUAAAUUGUUAUUGUAAUAAAGUCCUGUGUCAUAUAUUAGAUAGUUGUUAUGUGGUGGUACUUUAGUAAAACCAUGGUUAAACUAUAGUUCAAUUGUAGUUCAACCAUGGUUUCAAAACUAUAGUUACUACAGUUUUACU
Molecule: non-coding RNA, 2592 nt
Organism: Misgurnus anguillicaudatus (oriental weatherfish)
Lineage: Eukaryota; Metazoa; Chordata; Actinopteri; Cypriniformes; Cobitidae
Source: RefSeq, a predicted model, not a curated record